UUUGAUCCUGGCUCAGGAUGAACGCUGGCGGCGUGCUUAACACAUGCAAGUCGAACGAUGAAGCCCAGCUUGCUGGGUGGAUUASUGGCGAACGGSUGAGUAACMCGUGAGUAMCCUGCCCUUAACUCUGGGAUAAGCCUGGGAAACURGGUCUAAUACCGGAUAGGAGCGCYACGCAUGGUGGGUGUUGGAAAGAUUUAUCGGUUUUGGAUGGACUCGCGGCCUAUCAGCUYGUUGGUGAGGUAAKGGCUCACCAAGSCGACGACGGGUAGCCGGCCUGAGAGGGUGACCGGCCRYWCWGGGACUGAGACACGGCCCARACUCCUACGGGAGGCAGCAGUGGGGAAUAUUGCACAAUGGGCGMAAGCCUGAUGCAGCGACGCCGCGUGAGGGAUGAC
This 398-nucleotide ribosomal RNA is filed under the name Micrococcus luteus. Its description in RNAcentral is "partial 16S ribosomal RNA". It matches the Rfam family "Bacterial small subunit ribosomal RNA", at positions 12 to 412 of the family's 1533-position model. Lineage: Bacteria; Bacillati; Actinomycetota; Actinomycetes; Micrococcales; Micrococcaceae. The record is from RNAcentral.